GAACAAAUUUUAAAAUAGCUAAAGCAAAGCCACUGAUCACCUAAUUGGAUUGUUACUGCCUUAGUAAAGCUUGCUGAUCUUUAAUAUGGAGUAGCUGUAAAUAUUAACACCCACAGCUUUGUAAAUGCAAAUAAAGUUAUGGGAAGUUUAACAUUUGGAAAGGAAGUAGUAAACAGGCAUGUGCAGGAGCCUGGGUGUGUCAGGGGUAGAGGCCACUGCAGGCCAGCUAUCUUGGGUGGCACAUUUGGAGCACAAACUAUCAAACGCAGCACUGUACCAGCUUGUGCACUGUUCUUUGUGCUGGUGCCCCCACCUAUCAGCCAAAGAGCAGGAGCUCCUAAAGUCACAGCUCCCAGCAUUACUUCCAAGACAUGAACUCACUUACCUAAAGGAGCUUUGGGUCUGCUUGCCCCCAAACUUUGUGCUGCAUCCAAAGACCUAA
This 442-nucleotide long non-coding RNA is filed under the name Junco hyemalis (dark-eyed junco). RNAcentral describes it as "lncRNA (ENSJHYG00000017222.1)". The record is from RNAcentral. Lineage: Eukaryota; Metazoa; Chordata; Aves; Passeriformes; Passerellidae.